GAAUUGCGAAAAGUAAUGUGAAUUGCAGAAUUCCGUGAAUCAUCGAAUCUUUGAACGCACAUUGCGCUCUCUGGCCCUCCAGAGAGCAUGCCUGUUUGAGUAUCAGUAACUACCUCACCACCCGUAAUGGGUGGUGGACUUGAGCGAUUCCAGCGGGGGCGAUGCAUUUCGACCCGAAUGCGCUGGUCGUUUGAAAUAGAGCGCGUGUUGUGUUUGUCACUGCUCUCGGCAAAGGCGUACCAGUUCUCCUCGGAGAUCCACUUGCGCCGGUGAUUUGCUGUUGAGCCUUUGUGCUGACUGACGACCGCGUCGUUAUCUAUCCAAGGUGCUGCGCAGUGUGCAAUGCAACUUGAUCUUGAUCUCAAAUCAGGCAAGACUACCCGCUGAAUUUAA
This 393-nucleotide unclassified non-coding RNA is filed under the name uncultured fungus. RNAcentral's name for it is "sequence contains ITS1". The stretch from base 1 to 105 matches the Rfam family "5.8S ribosomal RNA", at positions 50 to 154 of the family's 154-position model. Lineage: Eukaryota; Fungi. The record is from RNAcentral.